Molecule: non-coding RNA, 2557 nt
Organism: Macaca mulatta (Rhesus monkey)
Lineage: Eukaryota; Metazoa; Chordata; Mammalia; Primates; Cercopithecidae
Source: RefSeq, a predicted model, not a curated record
CCAGGUCCGCGCGGGAGCCCUCGUGGGGCGGCUUGGGCUGCCGGAGCUCGCUGGGUGCCAGCUGCAGGGACACGCCGUGGCUGUGGCCGCCGUGGCUGUGGCUGCUGUGGCCGCAGGGCCCGUCCUCCAGAUCCUGUGAGGGUAGCUGCUCAGCGUCCGCCAGGCCCCCAGCACACCCACCCGCCGGGUACCUUCCCAAGAAGCCUGACCUCCGGGUCCCUGGGCAGCAGGAGGUUGAAGAGGUUCUCAAACAGGAAGAAGGCGUAGAGCCCGGCCAACAUAGCCAGGAGGCGCCAGGCGCUGCAUCAAGGCCGACAGCUCUAGCAGGGAGAAGAGUCAGCACGGCGAGUCUGUGUGGGCUCCAGCCCUGCCCCCUAGGGACAUGGAGGCUGGGGACUCGGGGGUGCCCCCUCCACAGCCCAGCCCAGGCCUCACCAGCCAGCGUCAUAGGAGCCUCGCUACUGUGCUGCUGGAACACAAAGUCCACGAAGUACUGAGGGCUCGGCAAGGCAUGGAAGCAAGACCCACUCCUGACGUGGUCCAGCAGGGCAGCCAGGACGCCACCGGCACUACCUGGAGCCCCCGCCCCCACCGCCUCCUCCAGCAGCUGAGGAAUGUCUACGCAGGCCUGGGGAAGAGGGGGCCUCUGCCUCAGCCUUUGGUGUGACCUUGCAUCCAGUUCUGCCAUCCACCCAGCUGCCCCUGGAUGCAUCUCCCACGCCAACUACAGGAUCUGCCCCCACCAGCCCCGCCCUUCCCUGGGGCCACAGCCCUCCCUGCCCGGCCCAGCUGCUUCAGGCUCCCACUCAGCCCUCUGGGUUCCUCCCUCGUGAGGCCCCUCCUGGGGCUCCUGCAGGCCCCCAGCUGCCCGGUAGUGAGCUCCACAUUGUGAAUCCCCAGCAGGAGGCCGACUCCCGGGCGUCUCCCCAGGCCCCCGGGCUCCCUGAAGGCUCUGCAGCCAGGCCUGGCCCCCUAGGCCAUGGGGCCCUCCUCACCCACUCCCCUGGUCUGCCUGGACUGUCCCUCACCGUCUUGGGGGUCUGGCCGGCAGCCUGGGCCUGCAUCCUCUGCAGCAGCCAGCUUAGGCCCGGGGUCAGGGCCUUGGGGCUUUCGAGCAGGGCCAGGAGAUGGUCUGCACGAGAGGCCCAGCGGCCAGCCCGAGCGUCCUCACACGUGCCCUCGGGGUUGCUGAGGUAGAGGACGGCGGCGGCACUGAGGCGGGCAAUGUACCUGGCCUCCAGGACCGGGCCUGGGGGCAGCCCUGGCCCCUCAGGCUCGCCCAGGCCCAGGGCAUCCUCCACAGACAGGCACUGUGGGCAGAGACAGCUCCCUGGCCGGAGGUGAGCAGGCUCAGCAGACCAGCAGGCGGGGGCGCCGUCGCCGUCGCUGUCACCGUCACCGUCACCACCAGCACAGCCAGCAGCAGCCCAAGCUCCAGCGAGACCAGGGACGCCAUACUCAGCUCCCAGCGGGCUCAGCCAGAGAAAGCCCCAGGAAGCUCCAACACAGACAACCAGGAAGACAGACCUGGGCCCUGGCAGCCACCUGGCCGGGCUUGGGGCAGGAUAAGAUUGGGGUAAGACCCCAGCUCUAGCCCCCGGGGCAGGGAGGCUGUGGCUCCCAGCCCUGCCCUCCCUGUGGGCUCCUUCUCUGGCCUUUGAGCCUAGAGGCCUUAUCUCUACUGUGGUGGUGAUGGCAGGAAGUCUGGGGGAAGGGGAAGGCAGAUCUCAGGGCAGCUUUGCCUUCUGAAGGGGGAGUCCAGAUGCAGCCUCCUGCCCGGUCCAGCCAGCCUGACCCUGAGUGUUGUGGGUGGGGCUGGGGUGGGGAGCUGGGUGCCUGAGGCCCAAGGACUCUGUCCUGCCAUGUGCAGGGCGGGACGGGGCAGUGCGGGCAUUGGGCCCAGUGUCCUGGGGUCAGGGUGCUUCCCCUGGCAGCCUCACCCUGCCAAGCGGCAGAUCUCGUGGUGCCCCUCUGGCUGGGCCCACCCACAGUGGUAUCCUUCUGGGGGCGCAGAUGAUUUCUGGGCCCCAAGACCAUGACGGGGGCAGCUCUACACGCAGCUUGGAGAUGUUGCAGUCCCAAACUGGCCCUUUCCCUCCCACACCACCCCAGGACCAAUGGGCUGGCUGGAGGCCACCCAUUCUAAACCAGGCUCAAGGGCCUAUUUUAGCUUCAGGGCAAAGGUCUUGGGCUGGGCCUGACUCUGUGGCCUUCCUGAGCUGCCUCCCCAGUAGGCCUCAGUGCUGGGCUGCAGGCCUCCUCCAUUCCCUCCAUUCAUGUGACCCCAUCCCUCCCCACAGAAACUCUCCUCCACAGCCCAGGAGCAGCCGCUGAGGGUUUCAGCUGCCCGUGCCCCAGCCUGAGGCCGGCUUCCCCAGAGCAGAGGGGUUGCACUCUCCUGCCCCUCAGGCCCACUCUGUCAUGCAACAAGCUCAUUGCAAUUGGCCCAUCUUAAAAACAACACUGGUCGGGCACCUUGGCCCACGCCUGUAAACCCAGCACUUUGGGAGGCUGAGGCAGGUGGAUCACUUGAAGUCAGGAGUUUAAGACCAGCCUG